Molecule: ribosomal RNA, 429 nt
Filed under: Bacillota bacterium
Lineage: Bacteria; Bacillati; Bacillota
Description: Firmicutes bacterium partial 16S ribosomal RNA
Rfam family: Bacterial small subunit ribosomal RNA
Source: RNAcentral
UGGGGAAUUUUGGACAAUGGGGGCAACCCUGAUCCAGCAAUGCCGCGUGUGUGAAGAAGGCCUUCGGGUUGUAAAGCACUUUUGUCCGGAAAGAAAACUUCGGGGCUAAUACCCCUGGAGGAUGACGGUACCGGAAGAAUAAGCACCGGCUAACUACGUGCCAGCAGCCGCGGUAAUACGUAGGGUGCGAGCGUUAAUCGGAAUUACUGGGCGUAAAGCGUGCGCAGGCGGUGCUGUAAGACCGAUGUGAAAUCCCCGGGCUUAACCUGGGAACUGCAUUGGUGACUGCAGCGCUGGAGUAUGGCAGAGGGGGGUGGAAUUCCACGUGUAGCAGUGAAAUGCGUAGAGAUGUGGAGGAACACCGUUGGCGAAGGCAGCCCCCUGGGCCAAUACUGACGCUCAUGCACGAAAGCGUGGGGAGCAAACAGG